UACGAAGGGGGCUAGCGUUGCUCGGAAUCACUGGGCGUAAAGGGUGCGUAGGCGGGUCUUUUAAGUCAGGGGUGAAAUCCUGGAGCUCAACUCCAGAACUGCCUUUGAUACUGAAGAUCUUGAGUUCGGGAGAGGUGAGUGGAACUGCGAGUGUAGAGGUGAAAUUCGUAGAUAUUCGCAAGAACACCAGUGGCGAAGGCGGCUCACUGGCCCGGUACUGACGCUGAGG
Molecule: ribosomal RNA, 229 nt
Filed under: uncultured bacterium
Lineage: Bacteria
Description: partial 16S ribosomal RNA
Rfam family: Bacterial small subunit ribosomal RNA
Source: RNAcentral